This 518-nucleotide ribosomal RNA is filed under the name uncultured bacterium. RNAcentral's name for it is "bacterial SSU rRNA". It matches the Rfam family "Archaeal small subunit ribosomal RNA", at positions 345 to 866 of the family's 1478-position model. The record is from RNAcentral.
AACCUCCGCAAUGUGAGAAAUCGCGACGGGGGGAUCCCAAGUGCCAUUCUUAACGGGAUGGCUUUUCUUAAGUGUAAAAAGCUUUUGGAAUAAGAGCUGGGCAAGACCGGUGCCAGCCGCCGCGGUAACACCGGCAGCUCUAGUGGUAGCUGUUUUAUUGGGCCUAAAGCGUUCGUAGCCGGUUUGAUAAGUCACUGGUGAAAUCCUGUAGCUUAACUGUGGGAAUUGCUGGUGAUACUGUUGAACUUGAGGUCGGGAGAGGUUAGCGGUACUCCCAGGGUAGAGGUGAAAUUCUGUAAUCCUGGGAGGACCACCUGUGGCGAAGGCGGCUAACUGGAACGAACCUGACGGUGAGGGACGAAAGCUAGGGGCGCGAACCGGAUUAGAUACCCGGGUAGUCCUAGCCGUAACGAUGCGGACUUGGUGUUGGGAUGGCUUUGAGCCGCUCCGGUGCCGAAGGGAAGCUGUUAAGUCCGCCGCCUGGGAAGUACGGUCGCAAGACUGAAACUUAAGGAAUU